RNAcentral lists this long non-coding RNA (642 nucleotides) under Homo sapiens (human). RNAcentral describes it as "HSALNT0265588". The record is from RNAcentral. Lineage: Eukaryota; Metazoa; Chordata; Mammalia; Primates; Hominidae.
CUGAAUUGUGAGGUGCUUAAAGAGGAGACAGGUUGUGCUACAGAUAGACUGCAGUCAGUCACAAGAUGUGUCUGGAAUAUGGGUUUUUUUGUGCCACGGACCUCUUUGGCAGUCUGCUGGAGCCUGUGAAACCUUUCUCAGAAGAAAGCUGAUAAGUGCUGAAAAUCAAAUACGUGUGAUUUAAAGAAAAAGCACUAAACUAUGUGCCUCCUCGGUUGCAAGAAUUGAAGAAAGCUCUACUUCCCAGAUGCAAGACCAUGCCGCGAGGCUUAUCCAGUACUCCAGUUUCAGACAUGAGAGCAAAUCUACCCAGGACUAGAAGCCAUCAUCCUGAGGUCACAUCUCUGCCUCCUCACCCUCUCUGAUGUGAAAUUAAACUUAACUAUUGUCCAGAUCCCAGUUCAAGUUUCUUUUAUCGCAGAACCUUAGUUUUCUAUCUCCUCGGGGGAGAUGAUAAUACUUACAAGGAGACAGUGGGAAUUGUUAUCUGAGGAUGUUUGUAGCAUUACCAAGGCAGAAUCCAGCUGAGAAUGGACACUCAGCACAGAGCUUUUUCUUCCUGAGUCAAAGGCUGUCUCUGACGCCAGGGUCUCAGAUGUUCACACUGUGGGUGGUGGUGGCCUUUUCAUGUGGUUAUUCUUC